Molecule: ribosomal RNA, 510 nt
Filed under: uncultured bacterium
Lineage: Bacteria
Description: partial 16S ribosomal RNA
Source: RNAcentral
CACGUAGUUAGUCGUGGCUUUCUUGAAAAGUACCGUCAAGUAGAACUCAUUUCCUAAUUCUACCAUUCUUUCUUAACAACAGAGUUUUACAACCCAUAGGGCCUUCAUCACUCACGCGGCAUUGCUCGUUCAGGGUUUCUCCCAUUGACGAAUAUUCCUAACUGCUGUCUCCCGUAGGAGUCUGGGCCGUGUCUCAGUCCCAGUGUGGCCGAUUAACCUCUCAGUUCGGCUACGCAUCGCCGUCUUGGUAGGCCAUUACCCCACCAACUAACUAAUACGCCGCAGGCCCAUCUCUAAGCGAAGCUUUAAGGGCUUCUUUACUCCGUAGAGCACAUUCGGUAUUAUCAACCGUUUCCAGUUGUUAUCCCCAACUUAGAGGCAGGUAACCCACGUGUUACUCACCCGUUUGCCACUAGGUGGAAAAUCCAAAUCCAUCUUGUGCAAGCACUCAGACUUCAAUGGGCCACCUCGUUCGACUUGCAUGUCUUAGGCAUGCCGCCAGCGUUUCAU